UAAGGAAUCUUGCACAAUGGGGGAAACCCUGAUGCAGCAACGCCGCGUGAACGAUGAAGGCCUUUGGGUUGUAAAGUUCUGAUCUUGGGGAAGAAGGAAGUGACGGUACCCAAGGAGAAAGCCCCGGUUAACUACGUGCCAGCAGCCGCGGUAAUACGUAGGGGGCAAGCGUUAUCCGGAAUUAUUGGGCGUAAAGAGUGCGUAGGUGGUUACCUAAGCGCAAGGUUUAAUCUUGAGGCUCAACCUCAUUCUGCCUUGCGAACUGGGCUACUUGAGUGCAGGAGGGGAAAGCGGAAUUCCUAGUGUAGCGGUGAAAUGCGUAGAUAUUAGGAAGAACACCGGUGGCGAAGGCGGCUUUCUGGACUGUAACUGACACUGAGGCACGAAAGCGUGGGGAGCAAACAGG
This 406-nucleotide ribosomal RNA is filed under the name uncultured bacterium. RNAcentral's name for it is "bacterial SSU rRNA". It matches the Rfam family "Bacterial small subunit ribosomal RNA", at positions 355 to 776 of the family's 1533-position model. The record is from RNAcentral.